GAUGAACGCUGGCGGCGUGCCUAAUACAUGCAAGUCGAGCGAACAGACGAGGAGCUUGCUCCUCUGACGUUAGCGGCGGACGGGUGAGUAACACGUGGAUAACCUCCCUAUAAGACUGGGAUAACUUCGGGAAACCGGAGCUAAUACCGGAUAAUAUAUUGAACCGCAUGGUUCAAUAGUGAAAGACGGUUUUGCUGUCACUUAUAGAUGGAUCCGCGCCGCAUUAGCUAGUUGGUAAGGUAACGGCUUACCAAGGCAACGAUGCGUAGCCGACCUGAGAGGGUGAUCGGCCACACUGGAACUGAGACACGGUCCAGACUCCUACGGGAGGCAGCAGUAGGGAAUCUUCCGCAAUGGGCGAAAGCCUGACGGAGCAACGCCGCGUGAGUGAUGAAGGUCUUCGGAUCGUAAAACUCUGUUAUUAGGGAAGAACAAAUGUGUAAGUAACUAUGCACGUCUUGACGGUACCUAAUCAGAAAGCCACGGCUAACUACGUG
RNAcentral lists this ribosomal RNA (497 nucleotides) under uncultured bacterium. RNAcentral's name for it is "partial 16S ribosomal RNA". It matches the Rfam family "Bacterial small subunit ribosomal RNA", at positions 28 to 507 of the family's 1533-position model. The record is from RNAcentral.